UACGUAGGUGGCGAGCGUUGUCCGGAAUUACUGGGUGUAAAGGGAGCGUAGGCGGGAAGACAAGUUGGACGUUAAAUUUAUCGGCUUAACCGGUAACCGCGUUCAAAACUGUUUUUCUUGAGUGAAGUAGAGGUUGGCGGAAUUCCUAGUGUAGCGGUGAAAUGCGUAGAUAUUAGGAGGAACACCAGUGCGAAGGCGGCCAACUGGGCUUUAACUGACGCUGAGGCUCGAAAGCGUGGGGAGCAAACAGG
This 251-nucleotide ribosomal RNA is filed under the name uncultured bacterium. RNAcentral's name for it is "partial 16S ribosomal RNA". It matches the Rfam family "Bacterial small subunit ribosomal RNA", at positions 524 to 776 of the family's 1533-position model. The record is from RNAcentral.